RNAcentral lists this small RNA (131 nucleotides) under Marmota monax (woodchuck). Lineage: Eukaryota; Metazoa; Chordata; Mammalia; Rodentia; Sciuridae. The record is from RNAcentral.
GCCAGGUAUGGUGGCCUAUACCUGUAAACCCAAUGGCUUGGGAGGCUGAGGCAGGAGGAUUGUGAGUUCAAAGCCAGCCUCAGCAAUAAUUUAAUGAGGACCUAAAGCAAAUUAGGAAGACCCUGUCUCUA